GUCCCUACUCCCUUGACCAAGAGGCUCGGGUUCAAGCCUCACUUGCCUCAGAGACUGCAAUGUUACCUUUGAACAAGUUCCUCACGGAGUCGCUUCUGCACCAAAGGUUUUGACAAAGUAAACUCCAGAACAAUGUAUGACCUAGCUUCUGCAUAUUGCUGAAAUAUUUUAAAGUGCUUUUUUUUCCGAAUAAGAAGACUUACCUUGGAGCAGCUGAGAGCCGGAGCGGAGCGGGCUGGAGGCAUGGAGCAUUGUGAAGCGGCUGAGAACCGGAGCCGGAGUGGAGCUGGGUCAGUUGUUGGACUAGGUCUGGGCCAGGCGGUCAGUAGCUUGCAAGGCCAAUCAGACCACAUGUGGAAGCCCCUGCCCUGAGCUAUUGCCAUGUAAUGUUUAUCUGACUGUAAUGUUUAUCCUUUUAAUUAUGUCUUAUUUCUAACAUAUACUAUGAAUCACUGUGAGGUAAUGCAACUUCUCUUCUUUUUAUGCAUCUUUUUGUAUCUAAGAUUUGUACCUAGGUACUCUGUACCUAAGAUGGCACGAUGAGAUGCAACAUU
Rhincodon typus (whale shark) is the source of this 554-nucleotide long non-coding RNA. RefSeq lists it as uncharacterized. The record is from RefSeq and is a predicted model, not a curated record. Lineage: Eukaryota; Metazoa; Chordata; Chondrichthyes; Orectolobiformes; Rhincodontidae. The transcript has 3 exons.